This 253-nucleotide ribosomal RNA is filed under the name uncultured bacterium. RNAcentral's name for it is "partial 16S ribosomal RNA". It matches the Rfam family "Bacterial small subunit ribosomal RNA", at positions 524 to 776 of the family's 1533-position model. The record is from RNAcentral.
UACGGAGGAUGCAAGCGUUAUCCGGAAUGAUUGGGCGUAAAGCGUCCGCAGGUGGUUAUGCAAGUCUGCUGUCAAAGCGCAAGGCUCAACCUUGUAAAGGCAGUGGAAACUGUGUGACUAGAGAGUGAUAGGGGCAGAGGGAAUUCCCAGUGUAGCGGUGAAAUGCGUAGAGAUUGGGAAGAACACCGGUGGCGAAAGCGCUCUGCUGGGUCAUAUCUGACACUGAGGGACGAAAGCUAGGGGAGCGAAAGGG